GGACGCUCUCGCGCGAUCCCGGGGGCCAGGGCGGGGCCGGCGCUGUCCCGCGCUUCCUGCCACCCCGGGCCACCCCUCCGCGCCUCUCCGCUCCGGGCCAUGGCGGCCGUGGCUUGGGGACGGUGCCUCCCUCGGGUGUGGCUUCGCAGGAGGGCCGGGCCUGGCUGCGGCCGCCACUACCGCGCCGCGCUCUGCGCCGAGCUGAAGCAGCCCCUGGCCAUCGAGGAGGUCGCCUCCCGCCCCGUCCGGCCUCACGAGGUCAGAGUGGAUGUCCAUUUCUGUGGAGUUAAUUUUGCUGAUAUUUUGGUCUGCCGUGGUCAGUAUCAGGAAAAGCCUCAACUUCCCUUCACACCUGGAAUGGAGUUUUCGGGGACAGUAUUGGAGACAGGCACAGAUGUCAGCACAGUGAAAGAGGGAGAUCGAGUUAUUGGCGUGAGUGGCUUUAAUGGAAUGGCUGAAGAAUGCAUCAUUGAUCACAAGACACUGUGGCAGAUUCCAGAAGGGGUCCCCCUCCGAGAAGCUGCUACCUUGCCUGUCUCUUAUGUCACUGCUAUUUUGGCCUUGGAGCAUCGGGCCUGUACUCGGCCUGGAGAAACUGUUUUAGUGACAGCAGCAGCUGGAGCCACAGGCCUUGCAGUGAUAGAUGUGGCAACAAAUGUUCUUCAGGCUAAGGUAAUAGCUGCAGCCGGAAGUGACGAGAAGUGCAGGCUGGCGAUGCGGAAGGGUGCACAGUCCAUCGUGAACUAUAGUCAGGGCAGCCUGAAGGAGGCAGUGAGGAAGCUGGUGGGCAGUGAUGGGGUGAACGUGGUCAUCGACGCUGUGGGAGGAGAUGUCUUCCUGGAGGCUCUCCACAGCCUGGCCUGGGAGGGCAGGAUUGUGGUGGUGGGUUUUGCUGGAGGAACCAUUGCUUCUGUGCCGGCCAACCUUCUGCUCCUGAAGAAUGUCUCUGCUAUGGGGCUUUACUGGGGCCGAUACAAAGAGCAGAACUUUCCCAUCUUCUCCAGAAUCCUGUCCUCUGCUCUUCAGUACUGCCAGCAAGGGUGCAUCCAGCCACACAUCGGAGCGGUUUUUAAGCUAGAGGAGGUCAACGAUGCCUUCCUUCAUGUGAUACAGCGCAAAUCCACGGGCAAGCUGUGGCAAAGACUGCGAAAGAUUUGUUACGUAGCAAGCGAAGAGAAAUAAAGGUGUCCUCACGUCAUCGCUUGUGUUCAACAACAACAACAAAAUUAAAUAAAGGAAGAAAAAUUUGCACUAUUAUUUCUUCCACUUCAUUUUUCUUCUCGGAUUUUGACUGUAGAAUAUCGUGACUGCUCUGUGGACCACUCAGAGAGACUUGGCCAGGGAUAGUUUGGUGAUUUCACAUGAACCACAAGAGGUUAUCAGGAAGGCUGUAUUGCACAGGGAAUAAAGCGCCAUUCUCUCAGUAGAGGACCAGCGACUGGGGCUCUUAAGUCCAGCUGUUCGGCCUUGGGCUAGACUCCUCUUUUUAAUUUUCUCAGGUAAAACAAUGAAGAUCAUAAUAUGUUUUUUUCUACCUUGCGUGGUUCCUGUGAGGGUCAAAUGAGAUAAUGUAUGAUAAUGUGUGAAAGCACUUUCUAAUUGUCAUUUUCGUAAUAGAUUAUGAGGUCGUCUAGCACCAGUGUGUUCAAGUUCAUUUCAGAGUGGAGCAAAAAUGUGUAUUUUUUUGGCAUCUGCUGGGCUGAUAUGGAGCAAAGGAAUUGUUUGAUUUUUAAAAGUGUCUCUCAAGUAUUUCUACACUCUAUUGUAGCUGAAGUCAUUGUGCUCUUUUAUACGGAAUAAUGGACAAAGCGAUGGGAGCCCCAUGAUCCGACGUACCUCAAAGACAUACAGAACCAGACAAGGUCUAAAGAAGGACACCUAAAUUGAUCCAGAGGGCAGAGGGGGUUCUUUUGUGAGGGAUGAUGAAAGAAUUGGGGCUCUUCGUUCUGGAAAGACACAGGCUGAGAGGGGAAUAUGAUUGAAAUUUGUAAAAUAAUGAAAAUCAUAGGAUAAAAAUAUGAACGUAUUAAAUCCCAGAGCACAAGAACUAGGGACAACUUUAUCAUUUUAAAGAAAUAGCUUUAGGGCAAAGUAAAAAUAGUACUUCUUUACACAGGAAUACUAAGCACAUGGAACUUACUACUCUCAAAGAUUGCUAGGACCAAAAUCAAAUAUUAUAAGAGAAAGACAUGUAUUUCUGGAAGAUAGAUUCAUAGAUUAUAAAAUGAAAUUAAAAACAGUUUGGGUAAGUCUCCCCAAUUUUGGACUAUGGCACCAUGGAGAGUGGCCAUGAAGCUUUCCUGUUUCCAUCUGGCAUCCUUGUCCAGAUCAAGAUUCCCGAGUGGAUGUGCCAGAGAGGACAGAGCACAGAAUUUGAGCUCAGAGGGCCUGGCUGCAAGUGACUCUCGGGAAUCACUUCUUUUUAUUUACUUUAUUUAUUUUUAUUUAUUUAUUUAUUUAUUUAUUUAUUUAUUUAUUUAUUUAACGUUUAUUUAUUAUUAAGAGACAGAGAGACAUAGAGCAUGAGCAGGAGAGGGGCUGAGAGAUGGAGAGACACAGAAUCUGAAGCAGGCUCCAGGCUCUGAGCUGUCAGCACAGAGCCUGACGCGGGGCUCGCAGGGCUCAAACCCCCAAACUGCAAGAUUGUGACCCGAGCCGAAGUCAGACGCUUAACCAACUGAGCCACCCAGGCGCCCCGGGAAUCACUUCUUUUUUAUGUACCUCCAUUUCCUCAUCUGCAAAAAGAAGAAAAAAAGGUAAUAUCAACAUUAAAACCUGCUGCACUAUUGUAAGAGAUUCAACUGAAGGGAUGUCUGUGGCAGUGUUUUGUAGUUGGUAAACAUAUUAGCCGCAGGGGCAUGAGAAUUGCCACUUUUAUUGUUGCAUUUCCAAUUCUAUCUCCUUUAGGUGGGUUGACCUUCACCUUGUCCUUCCUGAUCCUGGCCUUGCUGGGGAGCAAUAUUUGCCAGCUCAGAAAUGAAGGAGAACACUGAGGAUAGGGACACUCCCUGGUCCUCUAGGGAGGGAGGUAGAGAGAAUGCAGACAUCUCUUCCUUCAUCCCUUGUUCUUCCUUGCGAAGGUAGAGAAAUAAAGGUGAGGAGGUAAGGAGAGGGGUGCCUGGGUCAGUCAGUUAAGUGUCCGACUCUCUCUUUGUCUCUUUUUAAUGUUUAUUUAUU
This is an RNA transcript of Acinonyx jubatus (cheetah), 3177 nucleotides long. It is a transcript of the gene named quinone oxidoreductase-like protein 2, with no coding region annotated. The record is from RefSeq and is a predicted model, not a curated record. Lineage: Eukaryota; Metazoa; Chordata; Mammalia; Carnivora; Felidae. The transcript is spliced from 12 exons.